GACAGAGGGUGCAAACGUUGUUCGGAAUUACUGGGCAUAAAGAGCACGUAGGUGGUGCGCUAAGUUACGUGUGAAAUCCCCCGGCUCAACCGGGGAAUUGCGCGUGAUACCGGCGCACUUGAGGCGGGUAGGGGUGAGCGGAACUCCAGGUGGAGCGGUGAAAUGCGUAGAUAUCUGGAGGAACACCGGUGGCGAAAGCGGCUCACUGGACCCGAUCUGACACUGAGGUGCGAAAGCUAGGGUAGCAAACGGG
Molecule: ribosomal RNA, 253 nt
Filed under: uncultured bacterium
Lineage: Bacteria
Description: partial 16S ribosomal RNA
Rfam family: Bacterial small subunit ribosomal RNA
Source: RNAcentral